RNAcentral lists this long non-coding RNA (1029 nucleotides) under Canis lupus familiaris (dog). Its description in RNAcentral is "lncRNA (ENSCAFG00030004444.1)". Lineage: Eukaryota; Metazoa; Chordata; Mammalia; Carnivora; Canidae. The record is from RNAcentral.
AUGGGCUACGGGCGGAGGUGGUGGAAUACGGCUGGGAGGCGAUGUCUGCGCGCCCCCUUGACCCCCACGGCGGCCGCGAUCACCCCGCCCCGUUGCCUCCGCUGGCCCCGCCUCCAUCAGGUUCCCCCCAAGGUUCGGCGCGCCCCUCCGCCGCCCUUCCGCGGCCCCGCCCUCUCCGCCCCUCCACGACCCCGCCUCCUUCGCGAGCCCUUCCGCUUCUCCCGCUCCUCCGACUCCGCCCCCUGGAGGCCCCGCCCUCCCCGCAGGCCCCGCCCUCCCCGCAGGCCCCGCCCUCUCCGCCCCUCCACGACCCCGCCUCCUUCGCGAGCCCUUCCGCUUCUCCCGCACCUCCGACUCCGCCCCCUGGAGGCCCCGCCCUCUCCGCAGGCCCCGCCCUCCCCGCAGGCCCCGCCCUCUCCGCCCCUCCAUGACCCCGCCUCCUUCGCGAGCCCUUCCGCUUCUCCCGCCCCUCCGACUCCUCCCCUUGGAGGCCCCGCCCUCUCCGCAGGCCCCGCCCUCCCCGUAGGCCCCGCCCUCCCCGUAGGCCCCGCCCUCUCCGCCCCUCCACGACCCCGCCUCCUUCGCGAGCCCUUCCGCUUCUCCCGCCCCUCCGACUCCUCCCCUUGGAGGCCCCGCCCUCUCCGCAGGCCCCGCCCUCUCCGCCCCUCCACGACCCCGCCUCCUUCGCGAGCCCUUCCGCUUCUCCCGCUCCUCCGACUCCGCCCCCUGGAGGCCCCGCCCUCUCUGCCGGCCCCGCCCUCUCCGCCCCCCCCCCCCCGCCUCCUUCGCGAGCCCUUCCGCUUCUCCCGCCCCUCCGACUCCUCCCCUUGGAGGCCCCGCCCUCCCCGUAGGCCCCGCCCUCCCCGUAGGCCCCGCCCUCUCCGCCCCUCCACGACCCCCGCCUCCUUCGCGAGCCCUUCCGCUUCUCCCGCCCCUCCGACUCCUCCCCUUGGAGGCCCCGCCCUCCCCGCAGGCCCCGCCCUCUCCCCCGCCCCCUCCUCCCCGAGGCUCUCCACCGGUCCGCCCUAG